AAAAACAUAAAAAACUACGAAUUUGCAGAUUUCUCCCCUCUCUCCCCCCCAAACCCGACGCUCAAAAUGGUGUGACUUUUUUCUGAACAUUAUGUGGACCAUAUAGAACAAUUUGGUGUUGGAGAAUUACUUUCACUUUGGAUGUCUGGGUUUGGGUCUAACUAAACCAUACUACUAAUAAAAAUGGUAGGUAAAAGAUUAUUAUAAACGAAGUCUUAAAAAAUCAUUAUAAUAAAUGUUAUAAAUAAAUAAAAAAAGAUGAGUAGCUCCUAACCCUUAAAAGCAGUUUUCUACUUAAAAGUAACAAAUAAAUAAUAAUUAUUAUUAAUUUGCAGAAAAAGUUUCGUCGAAGGGUAAAAGAAAGUUAUUUACCGAUGAAAUGACGCAUCCAAUGCAAAAUAAUAAAGUUACAAAAAGAAAGGAGGUGCCAACUACUGAAAAAACCGAAAGCACUUCAAAUGCGAUUGCAAGGCACCGAUGGACCGAAAA
Long non-coding RNA from Diabrotica virgifera virgifera (western corn rootworm), 489 nucleotides. RefSeq lists it as uncharacterized. The record is from RefSeq and is a predicted model, not a curated record. Lineage: Eukaryota; Metazoa; Arthropoda; Insecta; Coleoptera; Chrysomelidae. The transcript has 3 exons.